GUGGGGAAUCUUCCGCAAUGGACGAAAGUCUGACGGAGCAACGCCGCGUGAGUGAUGAAGGUCUUCGGAUUGUAAAGCUCUGUUAAUCGGGACGAAAGAGCCUAGUGUGAAUAAUGCUAGGAAGUGACGGUACCGGAAUAGAAAGCCACGGCUAACUACGUGCCAGCAGCCGCGGUAAUACGUAGGUGGCAAGCGUUGUCCGGAAUUAUUGGGCGUAAAGCGCGCGCAGGCGGAUCUGCCAGUCUGUCUUAAAAGGUCGGGGCUUAACCCCGUGAUGGGAUGGAAACUACAGAUCUAGAGUAUCGGAGAGGAAAGUGGAAUUCCUAGUGUAGCGGUGAAAUGCGUAGAUAUUAGGAAGAACACCAGUGGCGAAGGCGACUUUCUGGACGAAAACUGACGCUGAGGCGCGAAAGCCAGGGGAGCGAACGGGAUUAGAUACCCCAGUAGUCC
RNAcentral lists this ribosomal RNA (450 nucleotides) under uncultured bacterium. RNAcentral describes it as "partial 16S ribosomal RNA". It matches the Rfam family "Bacterial small subunit ribosomal RNA", at positions 354 to 796 of the family's 1533-position model. The record is from RNAcentral.